UCCCUUUCUCACUCUCUGGUUUCUCGUUCUCCCACACAGAUGAAGCAGAGAGACUUCAUUUAUAUCGAACCAUGAUUCUUCAUCUUACUAUUUUCUCUGUCACGAAAACAUCACCGGAGAACUCAACUCAGAAAAAACAACCCUAAACUUACCCGAAAUCAAUUGCCUAAUCUGCAAACCGAUUUUACAGAAUUCAAAUUAUCUUUGAAUAACCUGAUUUCGCAAACCCUAGAAAUUAGAUUCUGAGACUCUACGAAGAUUCAAGUAGAAGUGAUUUUUCAAGUUCUGAGAAGAAGAAUCAGUGUGGUUCAUUUCUUAGAAUCUCGUGGUAUGCUCAAGGAUGCGCCGGAGGUAGCUACUGAUCCAAAUUGCUAUUCAGCUUGGAAGACUAGAUGUUGCAAAGUCGGUUGUUGAUGUUUUUGACCCAAGAUCUUUGGUCGCUCCAUCUAUAUGCCACCCACUGGAUUUUCUCUCUCUCAAGGAAGAAGAGCUUUAUGAAAUCGAAAUUCCGCUAAGCUUUUGUUGACCUCUGUUGGCACUAGACUGCAUGGUUUGGUUUGUUGGUUUGACGAAAGGUACAUCUUUCUUUUCUUAUUAAGGAUGUGGAUUUGUGCAUUCUUGUUUCAUAUUCACUAUGUCGUGCAUGUUGCAUAUUCUUCUUGGGAAGGUUCUAUGAUGAGGUUUAUGCUAACAACUAAAGUGAAUAUCCUGUACUGUAAAACAAUGGCUUUCGACAGCCCGCAACCCACUGGUACCAACUCCAUUGUGUUUUAUCUCGGCCAAUUUAUGUCAUGGCUGGACAAGAGAUUACUGGAGCUCUUGGCAUGGUUGCUCACAGUGCUCAGAGUUAUCCCAUGUAGUUAUUAACUACGGUCAGGCACUGGAAUUUUCUUUACUCUCCUUUUAGUGUUGUCAGGGAUGGUGAAAACGUUAACCCUAACUCUGGAAUUUACAACUUUUUAAAGCUAAAAUGUGGGGUGCUGAACAAGGAGGAGUACUUCAAAUGUCUACAUGCAAACUUGAUCUGAAAGAGCUUUACUAUCCUCGAAUUGACCGACUUCCGGGAUUGAAUGGUUAUAGCCUUUCACACUCCCGACAGUAGUGAUGUCAUAUUUGGAGUGUUACAUAGUUGUUAGGUGGUCAAAAGCUGCAUUUAGGAAAUCAUGCGUUCUUUUUAGAGUUUGGUGCCUGACGCUAAAUCACAGAAAACGACGUCCUUCAAUAGUUGUAUUUUCUAGACGCUCCAAUUGUAAUUUUGCGAUCCUUUUGCUUUCUUGUUUGUCGAAAAAAAUAUAAAAAUUCUUUUAACCGCCUUUCUUUUCAAAUUUGCUUGAAUACUGUAGCUGUACAAUUUGUGUAGAUAUUAUAUUAUUUUAAUCUGCUGAA
This is a long non-coding RNA of Papaver somniferum (opium poppy), 1386 nucleotides long. RefSeq lists it as uncharacterized. NCBI's taxonomy places the organism in Eukaryota, Viridiplantae, Streptophyta, Magnoliopsida, Ranunculales, Papaveraceae. The transcript has 4 exons. The record is from RefSeq and is a predicted model, not a curated record.